This 2554-nucleotide long non-coding RNA is filed under the name Nicotiana tabacum (common tobacco). Its description in RNAcentral is "long non-coding RNA (NTAB_LNC005416)". Lineage: Eukaryota; Viridiplantae; Streptophyta; Magnoliopsida; Solanales; Solanaceae. The record is from RNAcentral.
CCAUAGUCGCCACAAAUCGUAUUUUCCAUUUUUUUUAAAAAUAGCAGCAACAAUAUUGCACAAAUGUAUUAGCCGAGCAACCCAAUAGCAUUAGAUGAGACAACAUUAAACGCAUUUCUCAAACAAAAUAAUAUAGAAAAAUUCUAUUAAUAAUUCAUAACAUAACUAAUUGUACUCAUGAAACAAAAAAAUAAAAGCAAAAUAAGAUUUCUUCAAGUUCCGCCUUCGCCUUGGCUAGUAUCAUUUUCCCUUGAAGUCUUGAGACUCUGCACAAGCUCAAGCCGUGAACUCAGAAUCCCGUGCCUCGAAAAUAUCUCUGCAAUCACUUAAUUUUUGCAAGCACAAUGUAUAAUUUUUUUUUAUUUUUAUUUUUUGAUAAUCGUGGUGUCCGGGCCAGCUUGCGCGCACCUCGACUAAUUCCACGGGAUACCUGCCACCUCCCACCAGCAACAACUACCAGGUAACUCUAUCCACCAAGGCUUGAAUAAAUGGGAAAAAAUCACCUAAUAUUUGCCUCCGCUGGGAUUUGAACCUGAGACCUCAUGAUUCUCACCCACUUUAUUGACCACUAGGUCACACCCUUGGGUGCCACAAUGCAUAAUUACUUUACCAAAAAUUUCAGCUAAGGGAAAAAAAAAUGCUCCAUUCUAGUCUGAUAUAUGCCCAUUGAAAAUCUAAGGGUCGUUAAAGUCAUGUAUAUGCCCAUCUAAAAUCCACAUAUCUAAUAGAUACCAAAUUGAAUAGCUAUCACCACAUAUAUCUAUCACUGAAAACUAAAUGCCCUUUCUGUCAAUUUCCUCUCAUAAUGACCACAGUAAAGCUCCUUCAUGAACAAGUUGUCAACAAUAAGGUUAAAAAAAUAAUUAAAUGCCAAUAAAAUAAGCUUAUUAUUAAGCUAAGAAAUUUAAAAGUAGCACAUAAUUUUUUUUUUCACAAGUAACCAAGAAUAAAACCAUGAUGAUCCAUAUAUGUGGAACUUCAACUUUAAGAAGUAUUAAGUAUGCUAACCUCUGUUGCGACCUUUUUUGUCUUACAUAACCUUAUUUUGUUUAACUGGAGCCAAGAGCAUUAAGCAAAAGGUAUUAUUGUCAGAUACCUGUGAAAGAGGAGGAAUUGUUUCCUUUAAGAUUACCAAACCCAUAGUAUGUAGUAGCUGUAAAGAAUAGCUUCGAAUACAUCCCACCGCAAUCCCUUCUAAAUAAUUAAAUACUGCAACAGGGUAUUAAGGUAACAAGGGCAAGGCAAAGUGAAAAUAUCAUUUUACCUUGAAAUUAAGGAAGAAGAUCCAAAACUCCCUAGAUGAAGGAACACCUAUGUAUCAGCUUGCUAGACUUAUUUCCUCAACAACUCUAAGUAUCAACUUUCUAGACUAUUUUAAUUCAAUAUUUUCUUGCAGGAUAGAAAAGCACCCUAACAUUCUUUCUCAAAUCUAUGACCGAUGAAUUUAAUUUUUAAGCCAAGCACAUAUACCAUAUUAACCUUAGCAUCUGAGUAACUUUUAAUCUGCAAUAUCCUCGUAACAAAGUCUUUAUAUCUAAGCAAGUAUAAAUCAUUUAGAAGCGUGGAAACUGUACUUCUGCUUCACCUUUAUCAUAAUUUCAGUAAUCAAAAUGGACAUAGGCACUUUCUUCUUACACCAUAUUUUUGUAACACUCCUGUACAGAAGAGCAUAUUCUUGUUUAAUUACUUUUAAUAAUUAAUACAAAAUAAAUUGUCUAAACCCUAGCCUUCGAUAUCUCUUUUCCAAUUGUGUACUUCUCAAUACUGAAUCAGAUACUUUUGUGAGUUCAACAUUUUCCUCACAUUAAUUUCAAUAAAAAUAAUAGUAUACCAAACAUGCAAUCACAAUAAUCGCACAAAAAUGUCUCGAAUCUCUAAAAGAAACUUUCACCGUAUCCGGAGAAAGAGAGAGCUGAGAAACAACUAUUAAGAUAGAAUCACAAAAUAGGCAAUCCGCCGAUUCCUCACAGAUAAGGGCUUUACAUGACUUUUCUUGUAAUGAAUUUCUUUCUAUUCCUGUAGAUUUUCAAACGUGUCACUUAACUUAAAGGCAGAAUUAGAUUUUCAAGGCUAACUGCAUAUAUCACCGAAAAAGAUUUUGGGAUUUGAGAAAAUACCUGAUGGAGUCACAAUUAGUGAUUAAGGAUUUUGGUGUCUAAUAUAUGAUUCACAUUUUGGGAGCGGAAUUUGACAAAUUUGAGAUGAGAGAAAAUGGAGAACUUUCGAGAGAGAGAGACGGAGCAAAGAAACAUAUGGAUGUGAUUCCUUCUUUUCAAUUAGGGCUUGUUUAGUUUUUUUUUUUUCAAAGCCGAGAUUUAGAGGCGGCCUAGGCGCCAUAGAAGCCCUUCAGAGGCAACUACUUAAAUGGGUUGCCACUAAAACUUUGGAGUCAAAAAAUUUUAUUAGUGAGAAUGAAAAAUUUAGCACAUAUUAGUGGCGACCUAAAUAGAGUCUCCACCAAUAGUGUACCUACUGUAGCGAUAACAAAUGUCGCCACAAUAGUUUAACUUUUGUGGCAAUAAUUAAGCUCGCCGUUAAAUAUUGUCGCAAAAAG